This 144-nucleotide small nuclear RNA is filed under the name Dromaius novaehollandiae (emu). RNAcentral describes it as "U1 spliceosomal RNA (ENSDNVG00000017359.1)". It matches the Rfam family "U1 spliceosomal RNA". From Rfam's summary of the family: U1 is a small nuclear RNA (snRNA) component of the spliceosome (involved in pre-mRNA splicing). Lineage: Eukaryota; Metazoa; Chordata; Aves; Casuariiformes; Dromaiidae. The record is from Rfam by way of RNAcentral.
CUACUUACCUGGCAGAGGAGAUACCAUGAUCAGGCAGGUGGUUUUCCCAGGGUGAGGCUCAUCCCUUGCACCCCGGGUGACCAUGGUGUCUGCGCUGACCACAUAAUUUGUGGUAGUGGGGGACUGCGUUUGCACUCUCCCCUG